This is a long non-coding RNA of Bombyx mori (domestic silkworm), 605 nucleotides long. RefSeq lists it as uncharacterized. The transcript has 2 exons. NCBI's taxonomy places the organism in Eukaryota, Metazoa, Arthropoda, Insecta, Lepidoptera, Bombycidae. The record is from RefSeq and is a predicted model, not a curated record.
GUCAUCGGUGCAGUUUUUAUUUGAUCGGAUAUUAUUACUCCAAUAUGGGGACUUUGAAAAUGACAUCUGUCAGUUUAAAAUAGUAAACAAUGACGAAAUUUCUUAAUCGUUUUUUGAUCAGCCUAGGUACUUUGAAAAACAAUGUAUUAGUUUUCAUUGGAUCUUUCAUUUUCAUAGAUAUCAUAACAUGAAUACCGUCAACUACCUUUGGAUCGAGUCUCAAAUUAAUGGCUGCCGACCACCCUUCAAAUUGUGGACUAAUUACUUGAGUGCAAAAAUAGGCUGAGCUCCGUCAGCUUGCCUAUCAAUUAAGCCAGAAUAUCCUCCGAGGCUACUGGCAGGAAUGUACGAAUAUAAAGCAUUUACCUUACGUGUAUUGCAGUGCUAAAAUUUAAAACAUGGCGUUGUACAAAAUAUUAUCUGGUUCUCUAACGACUAACUUCUAAAAAUACAUUACAAUAAGAAUUAGGACACUUUUGUUUAUUUAUACUGGAUAUUUAGUUGGCUUUGGGCUUGCGAGACCGGUUUUUUAAUUGUAUACUUUGAUUUUGCUUUUACUUGUGACGAAUAAAUUACGCUAAUUAUUUCGAGUUACGCCCACAUAA